UACGGAGGGUGCGAGCGUUAUCCGGAAUUACUGGGUUUAAAGGGUGCGUAGGCGGCUUGGUAAGUCGGGAGUGAAAGUUUGCGGCUCAACCGUAAAAUUGCUUUUGAUACUGCCAGGCUAGAGUCAGGAUGAGGUCAGCGGAAUGUGGCAUGUAGCGGUGAAAUGCAUAGAUAUGCCAUAGAACACCCAUUGCGAAGGCAGCUGGCUAGACCUGGAUUGACGCUGAGGCACGAAAGCGUGGGGAGCGAACAGG
This 253-nucleotide ribosomal RNA is filed under the name uncultured bacterium. RNAcentral describes it as "partial 16S ribosomal RNA". It matches the Rfam family "Bacterial small subunit ribosomal RNA", at positions 524 to 776 of the family's 1533-position model. The record is from RNAcentral.